This 908-nucleotide small RNA is filed under the name Pongo abelii (Sumatran orangutan). RNAcentral describes it as "retained intron". The record is from RNAcentral. Lineage: Eukaryota; Metazoa; Chordata; Mammalia; Primates; Hominidae.
GUAGAUCCUACUGUUGAAAAUGAGGAAACGUUCAUGAACAGAGUUGAAGUUAAAGUAAAGAUUCCUGAAGAGCUAAAACCAUGGCUUGUUGAUGACUGGGACUUAAUUACCAGGCAAAAACAGCUCUUUUAUCUUCCUGCCAAGAAGAAUGUGGAUUCCAUUCUUGAGGAUUAUGCAAAUUACAAGAAAUCUCGUGGAAACACAGAUAAUAAGGAGUAUGCGGUUAAUGAAGUUGUGGCAGGGAUAAAAGAAUACUUCAACGUAAUGUUGGGUACCCAGCUACUCUACAAAUUUGAGAGACCACAGUAUGCCGAAAUUCUUGCUGAUCAUCCCGAUGCACCCAUGUCCCAGGUGUAUGGAGCGCCACAUCUCCUGAGAUUAUUUGGUAAUAUGUCAUGUAGAAAAUAAUGGAUUUUACUUUUUGGGGGGUCUUCUCUAAAUGAAUAAGAGGUAAAGUAAUUAACUUUCCAAAACAUGACUCCAUUUUAAUUUGAAUUUUUAUCUAGAAUGUUAAAUAGCAAAAUGUCUUUGGGAGCAAGAGUUUUAAAAAUCGUGUAUUUUAUUUUAUAAUUUUUUUUUUGAGACAGAGUCUCACUCUGUUGCCCAGGCUGGAGUGCAGUGGUGAGAUCUUGGCUCACUGUAACCUCCACCUCCUGGGUUCAAGCAAUUCUCCUGCCUCAGCCUCCCAAGUAGUUGGGAUCACAGGUGUGCGCCACCACACCUGUGGUAAUUUUUGUAUUUCCAGUAGAGAUGGGGUUUCACCACGUUGGCAAAGGUGGUCUUGAAUUCCUGACCUCAAGUGAUUGCCUACCUCGGCCUCCCAAAGUGCUGGGAUUACAGGCGUGAGCUACCAUGCCCGGCCUAAAAUCAUAUAUUUUAAAGGAAUUGGUGGUGUUUGCUCACAUAAU